RNAcentral lists this ribosomal RNA (299 nucleotides) under uncultured bacterium. RNAcentral's name for it is "partial 16S ribosomal RNA". It matches the Rfam family "Bacterial small subunit ribosomal RNA", at positions 333 to 630 of the family's 1533-position model. The record is from RNAcentral.
UUUCCCCUACGGGGCGCAGCAGUGAGGAAUAUUGGUCAAUGGCCGGAAGGCUGAACCAGCCAAGUCGCGUGAGGGACGACUGCCCUAUGGGUUGUAAACCUCUUUUAUAAGGGAAGAAUAAAUGCUACGUGUAGCAUGAUGCCUGUACCUUAUGAAUAAGCAUCGGCUAACUCCGUGCCAGCAGCCGCGGUAAUACGGAGGAUGCGUGCGUUAUCCGGAUUUAUUGGGUUUAAAGGGUGCGUAGGCGGUUUUUUAAGUUAGUGGUUAAACGUCGGGGCUUCACCUUGAGUUGCCAUUAA